Molecule: transfer RNA, 77 nt
Filed under: Acidovorax sp. CF316
Lineage: Bacteria; Pseudomonadati; Pseudomonadota; Betaproteobacteria; Burkholderiales; Comamonadaceae
Also listed under: 3 other names
Description: tRNA-OTHER
Rfam family: tRNA
About the family: Transfer RNA (tRNA) molecules are approximately 80 nucleotides in length.
Source: RNAcentral
GCCCCGGUGACGGAACCGGCAUACGUGCUUGCCUUAGAAGCAAGAUUUUGGGAGUUCGACUCUCCCCUGGGGCACCA